RNAcentral lists this long non-coding RNA (625 nucleotides) under Anas platyrhynchos platyrhynchos (common mallard). Its description in RNAcentral is "lncRNA (ENSAPLG00000020658.1)". Lineage: Eukaryota; Metazoa; Chordata; Aves; Anseriformes; Anatidae. The record is from RNAcentral.
GUUUUUUUCUAUUCUACUCAGAUCCUUCUCUGGCCUGGUGUCUUCCUGGUAAAAUGUCUAAAAAAUUAUUUCUGUACAUGAACUGAGAAUUUUAUUCAAUGCUUAGCAUUGCUGCCAGAGCAUAAGCAGAGGAGAUGAUGAGAGAAUGCCGAGAAGACACUGUUUUUCAACAGAACUGAGGAAGAGGUGAGAAGGGAUGCUGAGAUAGCCUCAAGCUUGCUUUUUUUUUUUUUUUCUUUAUCAGAACACUCUUCCGGAUUGGAAUAUGAGUGUCUUGGGGGUCGGGUUGGAGAGGGAAAGCAUGAACCUCUGAGGCUGCCUUUACUACCUGCUAUCUGUGGCAUGGAAUCUGCAGAGAUGGCUAGGAAUGUAUUAGGGCAAAUGUGUAGUUUUAUAUACAUGAAAAGUAUCAGCUGGUGAUUACCUGCAUCUUUCAAGUCAGCCACUUGCUGAAAUUCCAUAGAGGAUUGUACCAUUGCACCAACGUAGAGGAAAUUCCUUGUCUGCCUUUUCUUCAGGUAUGUAAAUAUUCUAGUUCAAGGCCUGGUACUUUAAAAUUUCUAGCAAUUGUUCCAAAAGAUGCAAACUGCUUUUAAAUUGCUUCAAUGGUUUAUGCACUCUCUAA